UGUAUGAAUUUAAGCUGUGGAUGAAUGUGGAAAUUUAGAUUUAUAUAGUUCUAUUGGCAUUGUUUUCCGCCAUUUAUCUUUUAUCACGUCCCUCGAGAAACUCUUUGUGAUCGGCAAAAGUCGUUGUUCGUCUAAACGACGGGACAUUUCUCAUCCGUUGAUAGCUAGUGUUCUCACUCGCCUGCGCUUGAACCCCUGACUGGCGAGUUCGACUAACAUUUUUUGCCUUUUUCUUUCAAUGAUUUCUUUUUCACUCGAGGAGCUGUUGUUUGUGAGGAGUGUAAAUUUAGUUUUACUCAUACAGUAGCCGCGAUUCCAGCCGAGGAGCGACAAUGGUGGAGCUAAUAUGGUUCAGAGUCCUCUUAACGACUAUCUUGUUUUGGAAGAAAGAAGAAAUGGAAGAGAUGCUUUGAAAGUGAGGCAGCUGACAAGACAGACUUCAGUAAGAAUCCUCAGCGUUGAUCAAGAAAGUUCACAGCUCACCUCAUCUAGAGUGGGAAUCAUCUUGGAAGAAAGCUUGGUAAUGGAUGAACUGACCAAUCUCAGGCCUUCUAUGUCCAUUGUUUUCAGACUGAUUUCCCUGCCUACACCUGGACUAUCCUAAGUGUAUGAAAAGUAUUUUAUAUUUUUUGUCGGGAAAAGGUGAGCUGACACCUAAAAUUCAGUAUUGCCAAUAGUGUGAACUCAGAGUGUGGAAAAAACAUAUCGUUUUGAUGCUGUUUGUUGCGAUUGAGGAAAACUUGUUUGUGUGCUUAACGAUAAGUUAAUUUGUUGAACUAGUAUCUUUUUGAACUUUUUUUUUUUCUCCCAUGUUUUAUGGGGAA
Long non-coding RNA from Labeo rohita (rohu), 824 nucleotides. RefSeq lists it as uncharacterized. The record is from RefSeq and is a predicted model, not a curated record. The transcript has 3 exons. Lineage: Eukaryota; Metazoa; Chordata; Actinopteri; Cypriniformes; Cyprinidae.